Molecule: small nucleolar RNA, 132 nt
Organism: Apodemus sylvaticus (European woodmouse)
Lineage: Eukaryota; Metazoa; Chordata; Mammalia; Rodentia; Muridae
Product: small nucleolar RNA SNORA17
Exons: 1
Source: RefSeq, a predicted model, not a curated record
CCUGCCCUGAGGCACAAUGUAGACUUGACUGGUGCGUCACAUGUUUGUCAUUGGGUGACAGAGAGAAGGGUAUCUAUGGUUAUUCUCAAUGUUCUGACCUAUGAACCUUUGAAUAAAUAGGAGCCUAAAAUU